AUGGAGGUAUACGGCUUCAGCGACUCCUUCAGUGGGGUGGACUCCGUGCAGGAGCUGGCCCCGCCGCCCGCCCUACCCCCCAAGCAGCGGCAGCUCAGGCCUCCUGUGCUGCUUCUUCCUUCUCCUCUGUCUCCCACUGUGUCCAGCAAACUAAAGUGGCCUUCACCCCCGAGGACGGCAGUGCCGCUCAGGGCCUCAGUGUGUCCGUCUCUAACUCCUUUCUCAGCCGGCACGGCAGCUUGCCCGUGCCCUCGAGCCACCGGCUGGGAAAGACGGACAUCCCAGAGAUCCCUCAGCGGUCAGCGGCGUCCCUGGGAAGGACAGCAGAGACGGCAGUGAGAGGCCCCAAAGUCACCAGAUGCUCUGGAGUCGGC
RNAcentral lists this long non-coding RNA (374 nucleotides) under Homo sapiens (human). RNAcentral describes it as "non-protein coding lnc-UCK1-5:4". The record is from RNAcentral. Lineage: Eukaryota; Metazoa; Chordata; Mammalia; Primates; Hominidae.